RNAcentral lists this long non-coding RNA (1380 nucleotides) under Capra hircus (goat). RNAcentral describes it as "lncRNA (ENSCHIG00010005186.1)". Lineage: Eukaryota; Metazoa; Chordata; Mammalia; Artiodactyla; Bovidae. The record is from RNAcentral.
GAUACUGGGGGAAUGAGAGAAUGCUGUGCAUACAGUCAGUGAGAAGCACAGAGAACAGCAGUAGGGAAGGCAUGGGGGCAGGAAGAUGUGCUGCAAGUUCAGGGUCAGUAGGUAGUUCCUGUUGCUGGGCAGCAUCUUUUAGAGUCUCUGAGAUGGUGAAAGGGUAGGACUGGAAACAAAUUAUUGCAGUUCUUCUACCCUCGGUUUUUUUUCACCUAUAAAAUGAAGCAGCACCAGCCCUCUACGUUAUAGACGUUAAAAGCCUGGGAGAAAAUUUUAUUUUCCAUUUCCCCCCUGUUAUUUGUAUGGAAAUAAAUGCUUUGAUAAGUCUAUGGAGGAUGAUGGAUACAUACUCACCCUCACCAGGGCAUAUUUGAACCACUAAGGUGCUUCUAUGCUGCUGUACAGACAGAGAGAGGAAUGUAUUCUGCUCCUCAGAGGGACAGAGAAAAUAAGAACCAAUGAGGUUGCCCAGACAGCAUGCAAUAAGCCUCUUGACUGCUUCCUGUGGCUCCUGUCUUUAUUCAUGUUGACAAAACUUAAAAAGUGCUCUGUGUGAGUAGAGAUCUUGGACAAAUAAGUAAAAAAGCAGAGUAGAUAGAGGAUGAAACCUAGACUUUUCUGCAGAGGGCACACUAAAGAAAAUCCCUUUGCAGAAGUUUUGAGGGAGAUUUGAUAACCAUGAAAUUGGGGUCUCUGAGCAAAGCUCUGGGUCUUCAAGACCCUAAUGGAUGUGGUAAUCAACAAUCAACAGGGAGGCUAACCAUGAUGGUGCCUGGAGAGUGUUGGGCGCAAAGCUUGAUCCUAGUAAAUUGUCUCUGACAGUCGUUAUGAUUAUUUCAAUUAUCAUUACAAUUAGCGGUCUUGUUACUCCCCACUGCCUCUCAGGGGUUGGGGGCUCUGAGACCGGCCACUGUGAUGGGCAUUUUGCUUCUCUCCAGGAAAUGCAAUUUGUACAGGAGGAAUUGAAAUUCACUGAGCCUCACUAGCAAUGAAAGAAAUGCAAAUUAAAACCAGAAAAUAUCAUUUUGUCUGUUUGGCAAAGAUUUUGUUGCUAAAGUGUUAGUACCCAGUAUUGGUGCGGGAAAUCAGCGAUCUUAACUCAUGUAGGUAGGAGUAUAAGUUGUUCCAUUUUGUGAAGAUGAUUUGAUGAAAAAGCAUCAAGAACAUUAACAACAGGCAUGUCUUUUGACUUAGCAAUUGCACAUCUAGAAAUAAUAUUUAGUGGAUGUUUGCACAGAUUUAGUUAAAAGGCAUGCUGAUGGUUGCAGUGAAAAAUUGGAACUAUCAGAAUGCUCAACAACAGGGAACUAAAUUAAAUGAUGGUGCAUCCCCCUCAUAGGGCUACAAAGCAGUUAUUCCAAAUGAUGUUAUUGGAAG